GUGCUGUCUUUGGCAGCACAUAUACUAAAAUUGGAACAAGACAGAGAAAAUUCACAUGGCCCCUGGGCACGGAUGUCAUGCAAAUUUGUGAAGUGUUCUGUAUUUUU
Small nuclear RNA from Hyaena hyaena (striped hyena), 107 nucleotides. Lineage: Eukaryota; Metazoa; Chordata; Mammalia; Carnivora; Hyaenidae. The record is from RefSeq and is a predicted model, not a curated record.